GCCCAGAGUUUGAUUCAGGCUCAGGACGAACGCUGGCGGCGUGCCUAAUACAUGCAAGUCGAACGAACUCUGGUAUUGAUUGGUGCUUGCAUCAUGAUUUACAUUUGAGUGAGUGGCGACCUGGUGAGUAACACGUGGGAAACCUGCCCAGAAGCGGGGGAUAACACCUGGAAACAGAUGCUAAUACCGCAUAACAACUUGGACCGCAUGGUCCGAGCUUGAAAGAUGGCUUCGGCUAUCACUUUUGGAUGGUCCCGCGGCGUAUUAGCUAGAUGGUGGGGUAACGGCUCACCAUGGCAAUGAUACGUAGCCGACCUGAGAGGGUAAUCGGCCACAUUGGGACUGAGACACGGCCCAAACUCCUACGGGAGGCAGCAGUAGGGAAUCUUCCACAAUGGACGAAAGUCUGAUGGAGCAACGCCGCGUGAGUGAAGAAGGGUUUCGGCUCGUAAAACUCUGUUGUUAAAGAAGAACAUAUCUGAGAGUAACUGUUCAGGUAUUGACGGUAUUUAACCAGAAAGCCACGGCUAACUACGUGCCAGCAGCCGCGGUAAUACGUAGGUGGCAAGCGUUGUCCGGAUUUAUUGGGCGUAAAGCGAGCGCAGGCGGUUUUUUAAGUCUGAUGUGAAAGCCUUCGGCUCAACCGAAGAAGUGCAUCGGAAACUGGGAAACUUGAGUGCAGAAGAGGACAGUGGAACUCCAUGUGUAGCGGUGAAAUGCGUAGAUAUAUGGAAGAACACCAGUGGCGAAGGCGGCUGUCUGGUCUGUAACUGACGCUGAGGCUCGAAAGUAUGGGUAGCAAACAGGAUUAGAUACCCUGGUAGUCCAUACCGUAAACGAUGAAUGCUAAGUGUUGGAGGGUUUCCGCCCUUCAGUGCUGCAGCUAACGCAUUAAGCAUCCGCCUGGGAGGGCCG
This 915-nucleotide ribosomal RNA is filed under the name Lactiplantibacillus plantarum. RNAcentral describes it as "bacterial SSU rRNA". It matches the Rfam family "Bacterial small subunit ribosomal RNA", at positions 1 to 884 of the family's 1533-position model. Lineage: Bacteria; Bacillati; Bacillota; Bacilli; Lactobacillales; Lactobacillaceae. The record is from RNAcentral.